CCUACGUGUGGCAGCAGUGAGGAAUAUUGGUCAAUGGCCGGAAGGCUGAACCAGCCAUGCCGCGUGAAGGUCAGUGCCCUAUGGGUUGUAAACUUCUUUUAUAAAGGAAUAAAACGAGGCACGUGUGCCUUUUUGCAUGUACUUUAUGAAUACGGAUCGGCUAACUCCGUGCCAGCAGCCGCGGUAAUACGGAGGAUCCGAGCGUUAUCCGGAUUUAUUGGGUUUAAAGGGAGCGUAGAUGGGUUGUUAAGUCAGUUGUGAAAGUUUGCGGCUCAACCGUAAAAUUGCAAUUGAUACUGGAAGUAUUGAGUACAGUUGAGGUAGGCGGAAUUCGUGGUGUAGCGGUGAAAUGCUUAGAUAUCACGAAGAACCCCGAUUGCGAAGGCAGCUUACUAAACUGUGACUGACAUUGAUGCUCGAAAGUGUGGGUAUCAAACAGGAUUAGAUACCCUUGUAGUC
This 459-nucleotide ribosomal RNA is filed under the name uncultured bacterium. RNAcentral describes it as "partial 16S ribosomal RNA". It matches the Rfam family "Bacterial small subunit ribosomal RNA", at positions 338 to 795 of the family's 1533-position model. The record is from RNAcentral.